UUCGUAUGAACAGGCGGGAGAGAUAAGAGCUUAAAAGUCUUUGGGGGUGAAUCGCGAUAAUCGCGGGCUGGCUUGUAUUUAAGCGGAUGAUUUUUGGAAGCCUCAGAUCAAUAGUGACUUAACUUGCAAGUGUGUCGAAAGCAUCGGACUCUUUUGAAAUGGAUCGCAUCGGAAUUUUGGGAAUCGCCCUUCUUUUAAUUGGCAUAGUUCACAGUUAUCCCGCAAAUUCAAACCCACCUGGGGAACUUAUUCAACGGCCUCCGACAUCGCAGCAGUUGAGGGCAUGCAUCGCGUCCUGUUCUACGACCUCCGAGAACAAUCCGGUUUGUGGCACUAACAACCAAAGCUAUUCCAAUGAGAACAAAUUGAUCUGCGCCUCGUACUGUGGUUUAAAUAUCGGAAUUGCAUACCAUGGAAACUGUCGAAAAGCGCCUAGAGCAUCAAUACAAUAGUAGCAACGAAUAUCUUUUUCCACUAUCAAUAUAAUUAAUACGUUUUUAAAUUGUUUACUUUUUACACUAAAUAAUUAUUAACACUAUUAAAGUAAUUCAUGUUUAAA
Molecule: long non-coding RNA, 559 nt
Organism: Drosophila gunungcola (fruit fly)
Lineage: Eukaryota; Metazoa; Arthropoda; Insecta; Diptera; Drosophilidae
Exons: 2
Source: RefSeq, a predicted model, not a curated record